This 492-nucleotide ribosomal RNA is filed under the name uncultured bacterium. Its description in RNAcentral is "partial 16S ribosomal RNA". It matches the Rfam family "Bacterial small subunit ribosomal RNA", at positions 29 to 507 of the family's 1533-position model. The record is from RNAcentral.
AGUGAACGCUGGCGGUAGGCCUAACACAUGCAAGUCGAACGGCAGCACAGUAAGAGCUUGCUCUUACGGGUGGCGAGUGGCGGACGGGUGAGGAAUACAUCGGAAUCUACUUUUUCGUGGGGGAUAACGUAGGGAAACUUACGCUAAUACCGCAUACGACCUACGGGUGAAAGCAGGGGAUCUUCGGACCUUGCGCGAUUGAAUGAGCCGAUGUCGGAUUAGCUAGUUGGCGGGGUAAAGGCCCACCAAGGCGACGAUCCGGAGCUGGUCUGAGAGGAUGAUCAGCAACACGGGAAGGGAGACACGGCCAAGACUCCGACGGGAGGCAGAAGGGGGAAAUAUGGGACAAUGGGGGAAAGCCUGAUCCAGCCAUCCCGCGUGGGUGAAGAAGGCCUUCGGUUUGUAAAGCCUUUUUGUUGGGAAAAAAAAGAAGCGGGUGAACACCCGGUUGUUCGGACGGUACCCAAAAAAAAAGCCCCGGCUAACUUCGUG